UAUCUAUGAUGUGGACACUAAACUAAAAUCAAUUUAAAAUGUUUCCAAGUCUCAUGGAAUGGUUCACCUUCAAUUUGGGAGAAAGUAGCAAUUUUAUCACUUAGUUC
Small nucleolar RNA from Pistacia vera, 107 nucleotides. Lineage: Eukaryota; Viridiplantae; Streptophyta; Magnoliopsida; Sapindales; Anacardiaceae. The record is from RefSeq and is a predicted model, not a curated record.